RNAcentral lists this ribosomal RNA (481 nucleotides) under uncultured bacterium. RNAcentral's name for it is "partial 16S ribosomal RNA". It matches the Rfam family "Bacterial small subunit ribosomal RNA", at positions 28 to 507 of the family's 1533-position model. The record is from RNAcentral.
GAUGAACGCUGGCGGCGUGCUUAACACAUGCAAGUCGAACGAAGCAUUUAAGACAGAUUACUUCGGUUUGAAGUCUUUUAUGACUGAGUGGCGGACGGGUGAGUAACGCGUGGGUAACCUGCCUCAUACAGGGGGAUAGCAGCUGGAAACGGCUGGUAAUACCGCAUAAGCGCACAGUACCACAUGCUACAGUGUGAAAAACUCCGGUGGUAUGAGAUGGACCCGCGUCUGAUUAGCUUGUUGGCGGGGUAACGGCCCACCAAGGCGACGAUCAGUAGCCGAACUGAGAGGGUGAACGGCCACAUUGGGAAUGAGACACGGCCCAGAAUCCUACGGGAAGCAGCAGUGGGGAAUAUUGAACAAUGGAGGAAACUCUGAUGCAGCGACGCCGCGUGAGUGAAGAAGUAGUUCGCUAUGUAAAGCUCUAUCAGCAGGGAAGAUAGUGACGGUACCUGACUAAGAAGCUCCGGAUAAAUACGUG